UUCCGGUUGAUCCCGCCGGACCUGACUGCUAUCGGAUUGAUACUAAGCCAUGCGAGUCAUUGUAGUAAUACAAGGCAGACGGCUCAGUAACGCGUAGUCAACCUAACCUAUGGACGGGAAUAACCUCGGGAAACUGAGUAUAAUGCCCGAUAGAACAUUAUGCCUGGAAUGGUUUAUGUUCCAAAUGAUUUAUCGCCGUAGGAUGGGACUGCGGCCUAUCAGUUUGUUGGUGAGGUAAUGGCCCACCAAGACUAUUACAGGUACGGGCUCUGAGAGGAGUAGCCCGGAGAUGGGUACUGAGACACGGACCCAGGCCCUAUGGGGCGCAGCAGGCGAGAAAACUUUGCAAUGUGCGAAAGCACGACAAGGUUAAUCCGAGUGGUUUCUGCUAAAGGAACCUUUUGUCGGUCCUAGAAACACCGAUGAAUAAGGGGUGGGGCAAGUUCUGGUGUCAGCCGCCGCGGUAAAACCAGCACCUCAAGUGGUCAGGAUGAUUACUGGGCCUAAAGCAUCCGUAGCCGGCUCUAUAAGUUUUCGGUUAAAUCUGUACGCUCAACGUACAGGCUGCCGGGAAUACUGCAGAGCUAGGGAGUGGGAGAGGUAGACGGUACUCGGUAGGAAGGGGUAAAAUCCUUUGAUCUAUUGAUGACCACCUGUGGCGAAGGCGGUCUACCAGAACACGUCCGACGGUGAGGGAUGAAAGCUGGGAGAGCAAACCGGAUUAGAUACCCGGGUAGUCCCAGCUGUAAACUAUGCAAACUCAGUGAUGCAUUGGCUUGUGGCUAAUGCAGUGCUGCAGGGAAGCCGUUAAGUUUGCCGCCUGGGAAGUACGUACGCAAGUAUGAAACUUAAAGGAAUUGGCGGGGGAGCACCACAAGGGGUGAAGCCUGCGGUUCAAUUGGAGUCAACGCCGGG
This 915-nucleotide ribosomal RNA is filed under the name uncultured archaeon. RNAcentral describes it as "bacterial SSU rRNA". It matches the Rfam family "Archaeal small subunit ribosomal RNA", at positions 1 to 922 of the family's 1478-position model. The record is from RNAcentral.